RNAcentral lists this ribosomal RNA (243 nucleotides) under uncultured Actinomycetales bacterium. Its description in RNAcentral is "partial 16S ribosomal RNA". It matches the Rfam family "Bacterial small subunit ribosomal RNA", at positions 89 to 334 of the family's 1533-position model. The record is from RNAcentral. Lineage: Bacteria; Bacillati; Actinomycetota; Actinomycetes; Actinomycetales.
ACUCGAGUGGCGAACGGGUGAGUAACACGUGGGUGAUCUGCCCUGCACUCUGGGAUAAGCCUGGGAAACUGGGUCUAAUACUGGAUAUGACCUUUCUCCUUAUGGGGUUUGGUGGAAAGUUUUUCGGUGUAGGAUGAGCCCGCGGCCUAUCAGCUUGUUGGUGGGGUGAUGGCCUACCAAGGCGACGACGGGUAGCCGGCCUGAGAGGGUGAUCGGCCACAUUGGGACUGAGAUACGGCCCAG